Molecule: ribosomal RNA, 639 nt
Filed under: uncultured Bacilli bacterium
Lineage: Bacteria; Bacillati; Bacillota; Bacilli
Description: bacterial SSU rRNA
Rfam family: Bacterial small subunit ribosomal RNA
Source: RNAcentral
GAUGAGUUGCGAACGGGUGAGUAACGCGUAGGUAACCUGCCUGGUAGCGGGGGAUAACUAUUGGAAACGAUAGCUAAUACCGCAUAAUAGUAGAUGUUGCAUGACAUUUGCUUAAAAGGUGCAAUUGCAUCACUACCAGAUGGACCUGCGUUGUAUUAGCUAGUUGGUGGGGUAACGGCUCACCAAGGCGACGAUACAUAGCCGACCUGAGAGGGUGAUCGGCCACACUGGGACUGAGACACGGCCCAGACUCCUACGGGAGGGCAGCAGUAGGGAAUCUUCGGCAAUGGACGGAAAGUUCUGACCGAGCCAACGCCGCGUGAGUGAAGAACGUUUUCGGAUCCGUAAGGCUCUGGUGUAAGAACAAAGAAGAAUAUGAGAGUGGAAAGUUCAUACUGUGACGGUAUCUUACAAGAAAGGGACGGCUAACUACGUGCCAGCAGCCGCGGUAAUACGUAGGUCCCGAGCGUUGUCCGGAUUUAUUGGGCGUAAAGCGAGCGCAGGCGGUUAGAUAAGUCUGAAGUUAAAGGCUGUGGCUUAACCAUAGUACGCUUUGGAAACUGUUUAACUUGAGUGCAAGAGGGGAGAGUGGAAUUCCAUGUGUAGCGGUGAAAUGCGUAGAUAUAUGGAGGAACACCG